AAUAAACUUGCAGAUUGUGUUCGUCGCCUUCACUCCAUCGCUCGUGUUUGGAAGCCUCACGAGUAGUGUCAAUUUCCAAGACAUCAUCUCGUGGCGGUUUAUGCCAGUGGCCUGUGAACAUUGGACUAACGUUCGUGUUUGGGGCGAGUUUGGGAUGGAUUGUGGUGAAACUACUUAAACCACAGCCAUAUAUAGCAAAUCUAAUCCUAGCCGUUUGUUCAGCUGGAAAUUUGGGCAACAUUUUGUUGAUCAUAAUCCCUGCUAUCUGCAAGCAGAAGGGCAGCCCUUUCGGAGAUGCAAACGAUUUGCCUGAUUCAGUUCCUAUUUUUCAAGAUGUUAGAUGGCCUGAUUUUGUUAAAACAUGAUUGGAGUUGCUGAGUUCUGCAAUAUCACGCAAAAUAGAGAAAUGAAGGUGUACACAAAUCCAAAAUAAAAUUGGAGUAAAAUGGAAGAGAAAGGAUGACGAUAAGUUUGAGGAGGCUCCACCGUCGAUACUGCCUAAAUUUUGAGAAUGAGAAAUUUCUUAUGUAUAUGUUGACUAAGUGGGGUUAAUUGUAUAAGUAUUUCCUUUUUUUGUUGAGUCUGCAUAAUCUUUUGUUAAUUUCAUUUAUGCAGAAUAUUGUAAAUGGCCAUUUAAUAAAGAUAUAAAUUUUGGGCCUACGAGGUUAUUA
Molecule: long non-coding RNA, 671 nt
Organism: Salvia hispanica
Lineage: Eukaryota; Viridiplantae; Streptophyta; Magnoliopsida; Lamiales; Lamiaceae
Source: RefSeq, a predicted model, not a curated record